Molecule: ribosomal RNA, 570 nt
Filed under: uncultured Aciditerrimonas sp.
Lineage: Bacteria; Bacillati; Actinomycetota; Acidimicrobiia; Acidimicrobiales; Acidimicrobiaceae
Description: bacterial SSU rRNA
Rfam family: Bacterial small subunit ribosomal RNA
Source: RNAcentral
CCUACGGGAGGCAGCAGCAGGGAAUAUUGCGCAAUGGGCGAAAGCCUGACGCAGCGACACCGCGUGAAGGAUGAAGGCCCUCGGGUUGUAAACUUCUUUCAGUGGGGAAGAAGCGAAAGCGACGGUACCCACAGAAGAAGCCCCGGCCAACUACGUGCCAGCAGCCGCGGUAAUACGUAGGGGGCAAGCGUUGUCCGGAUUCAUUGGGCGUAAAGAGCUCGUAGGCGGCUUGGCAAGUCGGUCGUGAAAUACCGAGGCUCAACCUCGGAACGCCGAUCGAAACUGCCAUGGCUAGGGUCCGGUAGAGGAGAGUGGAAUUCUCGGUGUAGCGGUGAAAUGCGCAGAUAUCGAGAGGAACACCAGUAGCGAAGGCGGCUCUCUGGGCCGGUACCGACGCUGAGGAGCGAAAGCGUGGGGAGCAAACAGGAUUAGAUACCCUGGUAGUCCACGCCGUAAACGUUGGGUACUAGGUGUGGCGGGUUCAUCAAUGCCUGCCGUACCGAAGCUAACGCAUUAAGUACCCCGCCUGGGGAGUACGGUCGCAAGGCUGAAACUCAAAUGAAUUGACGG